AGUUGAUUGUCUGACAAUUCCAAAUCAGUAACGGACCUUAACUUUCCAACUUCCCAAGGUAUAGAACUAGAAAGUCGAUUGGUAUAAAGAUAAAGUUUUGAUACCUUCGUCAAGUUCCCUAUAGAAGCUGGGAUUGCACCGGUGAGUUGAUUGUCUGACAAUGCCAAAUCAGUAAGGCACCUCAACAUUCCAAUUUCCCAAGGUAUGGAACCAGAAAGUCGAUUGGCAUGAAGAUAAAGAGUUGAUACCUUCGUCAAAUUUCCUAUGGAAGUUGGGAUUAAACUAGAGAAAUUAUUGUAUGACAAUGAAAGGAUACUGAGAAAUGUCAAAGUUCCAAGUUGAUGAGGUAUGGGA
Jatropha curcas is the source of this 354-nucleotide non-coding RNA. Lineage: Eukaryota; Viridiplantae; Streptophyta; Magnoliopsida; Malpighiales; Euphorbiaceae. The record is from RefSeq and is a predicted model, not a curated record.